This 221-nucleotide ribosomal RNA is filed under the name Glomeraceae sp. RNAcentral's name for it is "partial small subunit ribosomal RNA". It matches the Rfam family "Eukaryotic small subunit ribosomal RNA", at positions 547 to 770 of the family's 1831-position model. The record is from RNAcentral. Lineage: Eukaryota; Fungi; Glomeromycota; Glomeromycetes; Glomerales; Glomeraceae.
UUUGGAGGGCAAUCUGGUGCCAGCAGCCGCGGUAAUUCCAGCUCCAAUAGCGUAUAUUAAAGUUGUUGCAGUUAAAAAGCUCGUAGUUGAAUUUCGGGGUCAGUACGUUUGGUCGUGCCUCCGGUAUGUACUGGUGUUACUGGUUCCUCCUUCCUGAAGAACCGUAAUGCCAUUAAUUUGGUGUGGCGGGGAAACAGGACUGUUACUUUGAAAAAAUUAGA